RNAcentral lists this ribosomal RNA (484 nucleotides) under uncultured bacterium. RNAcentral's name for it is "partial 16S ribosomal RNA". It matches the Rfam family "Bacterial small subunit ribosomal RNA", at positions 30 to 507 of the family's 1533-position model. The record is from RNAcentral.
AUUGAACGCUGGCGGCAGGCCUAACACAUGCAAGUCGAGCGGAUGAAGGGAGCUUGCUCCUGGAUUCAGCGGCGGACGGGUGAGUAAUGCCUAGGAAUCUGCCUGGUUGUGGGGGAUAACGUCCGGAAACGGGCGCUAAUACCGCAUACGUCCUGAGGGAGAAAGUGGGGGAUCUUCGGACCUCACGCUCUCAGAUGAGCCUAGGUCGGAUUAGCUAGUUGGUGGGGUAAAGGCCUACCAAGGCGACGAUCCGUAACUGGUCUGAGAGGAUGAUCAGUCAAACGGGAACUGAGACACGGUCCAGACUACUACGGGAGGCAGCAGUGGGGAAUAUUGGACAAUGGGCGAAAGCCUGAUCCAGCCAAGCCGCGUGUGUGAAGAAGGUCUUCGGAUUGUAAAGCACUUUAAGUUGGGAGGAAGGGCAGUAAGUUAAUACCUUGCUGUUUUGACGUUACCAACAGAAUAAGCACCGGCUAACUUCGUG